GCUGUCCGUGAAGGCUCUCAGCUGCGGACACGGCGGUGGGGGUCACGGGGUGACCGAGACCCCCCAGACACACUGCCCCCAGACGCUGCCGCAGGAGGUCGCCCGCGUGGGGAGGGACAGCGGAGAACAGGUCCACGUGGCAAAUGGUGGGGAGGGGCCCAGCCAGGGGACCUGGCCCCCCAGCACCCGGUGGGGUGAGGCGGGAGGAAGGGGGUCACGCAGGCGGGGACCGAGGCUCUAAACGUGGGGUGAGGCGGGAGGAAGCUGAGCACCAGAGGCAAGGAUCGGGGGCUUCUCUUAAGGGGCUGGGUGGGGGGUGGAGGGCGGGCCAGAGGCGCCCUUGGAGAGAAGGUCUGAGGACACCCGAGGACGGGGCAGGCGGGGAGGAGGCAGGAACGUGAAGUGAGAAAUGGUCACAGGGCCUCCUGGUCGGGAUCAGCAACCCUCCAAGGUGGUUCUGCCGCCCGGGGUCCAGAUCAAGAGUGAGGGCUGGGAAUUAGCACCCUGAGGCGGAGACGUCCACUCAGAAGCCACCGUGGGGCGGUUCAGCCUGUCCGCCCCCAACUGCCCCAGCCCUGCGUUCCGUCAACCGUCCUGAGACGCCCCAGCUCCCGGGACCUCUGCACACGGUCAUCCCGGUGCCCUCACUCUAGGAUGAUAAACUCACAGCCCUCUCUGAGCCCAAGAGCACCUGUGCUCCCGUCUACUGCAGCGAGUACAACCUGACUUGCAGGCUAAUUCACAAAACACUGGACAUCACGACAGGCAAGGCUACAUGCGUGUCUGCCCCACUGGUACCUGCAGUAAUAGGUAAUAUUGUGUCUCAAGGACGGAGGUUAUCUCCUAUCUUCUUUGCCUAGUGCAGCUGACAUUUAAUAAAUAUUUGUUUAUUCCUCCCACUGCUUCCCUCGCUAUACCAACAUGCUGUCGAAAGACUGACGUGUGCUCAAGGAUGUCAACUUGAAUCACUCCAGACCAUCAGAACAAUCCUCUGAAUUACAUUCCUUUCAUGCUAAUCAUGAAACAGUGGGAGCAGUGACAGACUUUAUUUUCUUGGGCUUCAAAAUCACUGCGGAUGGUAACUGCAGUCAUGAAAUUAAAAGGUGCUUGCUCCUUAGAAGAAAAGCUAUGACAAACCUACAUAGUGUAUUAAAAAGCAGAGACAUCUCUUUGCCAUCUAAGGUCUGCAGAGUCAAAGCUGUGGCUUUUCUAGCAGUCAUGUAUGGAUAUGAGUUGGACCAUAAAAAAAACUGAGCGCUGAAGAAUUGAUGCUUUCGGACUGUGGUGCUGGAGAAGACUCUUGAGAGUCUCCUGAACUGCAAGGAGAUCACAGCAAUCAAUCCUAUAAAUCAACUAUGAAUAUUCACUGGAAGGGACUGAUGCUGAAGCUCCAAUACUUUGGCCACCUGAUGCAAAGAUUCUACUGAUUGGAAAAGACCCUGAUGCUGGGAAAGACUGAGGGCAAAAGGAGAAGGGGCAGAGAGGAUGAGAUGGUUGGAUGGCAUCACCGACUCAAUGGCGUGGAUUCUUUAUCAGCUGAGCCACAAGGGAAGCCCAAGAAUACCGGAGUGGGCAGCCUAUCCCAUCUCAAGUGGAUCUUCCCGACCCAGGAAUUGAACCGGGGUCUCCUGCAUUGCAGGCGGCUCCUUUACCUACUGAGCUAUGAGGGAAGCCCAGAGGGCAAGAAGCAGAGAGAAACAGAGACACGGCUUUUGUGUGGAUCCUGUGCGCACGGACUUAACGCAUGUUCACGCCCCUGGCCCUGGACUGGCACAGGUCUGAACUGCAUGGGACCACUUGUAUGUGGAUUUUCCAGUAAACACAGUACCGGCAUUUUCACUUUACAGAUCUCUAAAUGAACUACUUUACAGAUCUCUAAAUGAACUAACUGCGGGAUUACAGAUCACAGCAUGUGCAAUCAAAAGAACUAGGGUUUGAGCCCUGAUUCUGUCCAAACUGUUGCAGCUUCCUGCCCUGGGGGUAAGUCACUGGUCAAUUCCAGGUUCUGAGGCAGAGAGAGAAAAGUACCUGGAUUUUUGACUACUGGGUGGGGGGCGGAGAAGGGGGUCAAAGCCCUUGGGUUAACUCCUGCAUUGUUCAAGGGUCAACUGUAUACCUAAAACAAAAGGUUUGUGAAAUAAAUUUUAUCCAUUUUACUGGCAAUACAUUCAUUUUAAUAAUAUAUUUACAGCCUAUCUCACUAAAAAAGAAAAUUUCUAGUUGAAAAUCCACGAACCAGGAGGUGAGGGCCCAUGUUUGGAAAUCACUGAUAGGUCUGCAUCCAGAAGGGGCACAUAGCCAGGCAGUGAGGUGUGUGACCUGGUCUGCUAAGCUGGUCUCCAAACC
Long non-coding RNA from Dama dama (fallow deer), 2346 nucleotides. RefSeq lists it as uncharacterized. The record is from RefSeq and is a predicted model, not a curated record. NCBI's taxonomy places the organism in Eukaryota, Metazoa, Chordata, Mammalia, Artiodactyla, Cervidae. The transcript has 3 exons.